This 404-nucleotide ribosomal RNA is filed under the name uncultured bacterium. RNAcentral's name for it is "bacterial SSU rRNA". It matches the Rfam family "Bacterial small subunit ribosomal RNA", at positions 355 to 776 of the family's 1533-position model. The record is from RNAcentral.
UGGGGAAUCUUGGACAAUGGGCGCAAGCCUGAUCCAGCCAUGCCGCGUGAGUGAAGAAGGCCUUAGGGUUGUAAAACUCUUUCGCCGGUGAAGAUAAUGACGGUAGCCGGAGAAGAAGCCCCGGCUAACUUCGUGCCAGCAGCCGCGGUAAUACGAAGGGGGCUAGCGUUGUUCGGAAUUACUGGGCGUAAAGCGCACGUAGGCGGAUUGGAAAGUUGGGGGUGAAAUCCCCGGGCUCAACCCGGGAACUGCCUUCAAAACUUCCAGUCUUGAGGUCAGGAGAGGCGAGCGGAAUUCCGAGUGUAGAGGUGAAAUUCGUAGAUAUUCGGAGGAACACCAGUGGCGAAGGCGGCUCGCUGGACUGAUACUGACGCUGAGGUGCGAAAGCGUGGGGAGCAAACAGG